GACGAACGCUGGCGGCGUGCUUAACACAUGCAAGUCGAACGGAAAGACCCUGCUUUUGUGUCGUGCUCGUUUGGCGAGCGCGGGAGUAACACGCGAGUAUCCUGCCCUUGACUGUGGGAUAACUUCAGGAGACUGGGGCUAAUACCCGAUAGAAUAUCCUGCUCCACGGUGUGCGAUGGAAAGUUUCGGCGGUUGGGGAUGGACUCGCGGCUUAUCAGCUUGUUGGUGGGGUUGGUGCUGUCCAGGGGUAUGACGGGUAGCCGGCCUGAGAGGGUGACCGGGCACAUUGCGACUGAGAGACGCAGCAGACUCCUAUGGGAGGCAGCAGUGGGGAAUAUUGCACAAUGGGCCGAAGCCUGAUGCAGCAACGCUGCGUGCGGGAUGACGGCCUUCGGGUUGUAAACCGCUUUCGCCUGUGACGAAGCGAGAGUGACGGUAAUGGGUAAAGAAGCACCGGCUAACUACGUG
RNAcentral lists this ribosomal RNA (468 nucleotides) under uncultured bacterium. Its description in RNAcentral is "partial 16S ribosomal RNA". It matches the Rfam family "Bacterial small subunit ribosomal RNA", at positions 28 to 507 of the family's 1533-position model. The record is from RNAcentral.